CGACCGGCGCACGGGUGAGUAACGCGUAUGCAACCUGCCUGAUACCGGGGUAUAGCCCAUGGAAACGUGGAUUAACACCCCAUAGUACUUUUAUCCUGCAUGGGAUGUGAGUUAAAUGUUCAAGGUAUCGGAUGGGCAUGCGUCCAUUAGUUAGUUGGCGGGGUAACAGCCCACCAAGACGAUGAUAGGUAGGGGUUCUGAGAGGAAGGUCCCCCACAUUGGAACUGAGACACGGUCCAA
RNAcentral lists this ribosomal RNA (240 nucleotides) under uncultured bacterium. RNAcentral's name for it is "partial 16S ribosomal RNA". It matches the Rfam family "Bacterial small subunit ribosomal RNA", at positions 92 to 334 of the family's 1533-position model. The record is from RNAcentral.